CCUACGGGUGGCUGCAGUAAGGAAUAUUGGUCAAUGGACGAAAGUCUGAACCAGCCAUCCCGCGUGCAGGAUGAAGGUCCUAUGGAUUGUAAACUGCUUUUAGCAGAGAAGAAAAGCAUUCAUUUAUGAGUGUCUGACGGUAUCUGCGGAAUAAGCACCGGCUAACUCCGUGCCAGCAGCCGCGGUAAUACGGAGGGUGCAAGCGUUAUCCGGAAUCACUGGGUUUAAAGGGUGCGUAGGCGGAAUAUUAAGUCAGUGGUGAAAGCCUGUCGCUUAACGAUAGAACUGCCAUUGAUACUGAUAUUCUUGAAUUGGGUUGAGGUUAGCGGAAUGUGACAUGUAGCGGUGAAAUGCAUAGAUAUGUCAUGGAACACCAAUUGCGAAGGCAGCUAGCUGGGCCUUGAUUGACGCUGAGGCACGAAAGCGUGGGUAGCGAACAGGCUUAGAUACCCCAGUAGUC
RNAcentral lists this ribosomal RNA (460 nucleotides) under uncultured Bacteroidota bacterium. Its description in RNAcentral is "bacterial SSU rRNA". It matches the Rfam family "Bacterial small subunit ribosomal RNA", at positions 338 to 795 of the family's 1533-position model. The record is from RNAcentral. Lineage: Bacteria; Pseudomonadati; Bacteroidota.